Molecule: ribosomal RNA, 748 nt
Filed under: Bacillus sp. (in: firmicutes)
Lineage: Bacteria; Bacillati; Bacillota; Bacilli; Caryophanales; Bacillaceae
Description: bacterial SSU rRNA
Rfam family: Bacterial small subunit ribosomal RNA
Source: RNAcentral
AGCUAGUUGGUGAGGUAACGGCUCACCAAGGCAACGAUGCAUAGCCGACCUGAGAGGGUGAUCGGCCACACUGGGACUGAGACACGGCCCAGACUCCUACGGGAGGCAGCAGUAGGGAAUCUUCCGCAAUGGACGAAAGUCUGACGGAGCAACGCCGCGUGAGUGAUGAAGGCUUUCGGGUCGUAAAACUCUGUUGUUAGGGAAGAACAAGUACAAGAGUAACUGCUUGUACCUUGACGGUACCUAACCAGAAAGCCACGGCUAACUACGUGCCAGCAGCCGCGGUAAUACGUAGGUGGCAAGCGUUAUCCGGAAUUAUUGGGCGUAAAGCGCGCGCAGGCGGUUUCUUAAGUCUGAUGUGAAAGCCCACGGCUCAACCGUGGAGGGUCAUUGGAAACUGGGGAACUUGAGUGCAGAAGAGAAAAGCGGAAUUCCACGUGUAGCGGUGAAAUGCGUAGAGAUGUGGAGGAACACCAGUGGCGAAGGCGGCUUUUUGGUCUGUAACUGACGCUGAGGCGCGAAAGCGUGGGGAGCACACAGGAUUAGAUACCCUGGUAGUCCACGCCGUACACGAUGAGUGCUAAGUGUUAGAGGGUUUCCGCCCUUUAGUGCUGCAGCUAACGCAUUAAGCACUCCGCCUGGGGAGUACGGUCGCAAGACUGAAACUCAAAGGAAUUGACGGGGGCCCGCACAGCGGUGGAGCAUGUGGUUAAUUCGAAGCACGCGAAGACCUUACAGGUCUUGACAU